RNAcentral lists this ribosomal RNA (502 nucleotides) under uncultured bacterium. RNAcentral describes it as "partial 16S ribosomal RNA". It matches the Rfam family "Bacterial small subunit ribosomal RNA", at positions 30 to 526 of the family's 1533-position model. The record is from RNAcentral.
AUUGAACGCUGGCGGCAUGCCUUACACAUGCAAGUCGAACGGCAGCACGGGUGCUUGCACCUGGUGGCGAGUGGCGGACGGGUGAGUAAUAUAUCGGAACGUGCCCUAGAGUGGGGGAUAACGUAGCGAAAGUUACGCUAAUACCGCAUACGAUCUACGGAUGAAAGUGGGGGAUCGCAAGACCUCAUGCUCCUGGAGCGGCCGAUAUCUGAUUAGCUAGUUGGUGGGGUAAAAGCCUACCAAGGCGACGAUCAGUAGCUGGUCUGAGAGGACGACCAGCCACACUGGGACUGAGACACGGCCCAGACUCCUACGGGAGGCAGCAGUGGGGAAUUUUGGACAAUGGGGGAAACCCUGAUCCAGCAAUGCCGCGUGUGUGAAGAAGGCCUUCGGGUUGUAAAGCACUUUUGUCAGGAACGAAACGGUGGGGGCUAAUACCUCCUGCUAAUGACGGUACCUGAAGAAUAAGCACCGGCUAACUACGUGCCAGCCGCCGUAAAAC